This 324-nucleotide ribosomal RNA is filed under the name uncultured bacterium. RNAcentral's name for it is "bacterial SSU rRNA". It matches the Rfam family "Bacterial small subunit ribosomal RNA", at positions 28 to 334 of the family's 1533-position model. The record is from RNAcentral.
GAUGAACGCUGGCGGCGUGCCUAACACAUGCAAGUCGAACGGACAUUUUUUGGAAAGCUCUUCGGAACUGGAAUCUAAAUGUUAGUGGCGGACGGGUGAGUAACGCGUGAGCAAUCUGCCUUUCAGAGGGGGAUAACAGCCGGAAACGGCUGCUAAUACCGCAUAAUGCAUCGGAUUCGCAUGUUUUUGAUGCCAAAGAUUUUAUCGCUGAAAGAUGAGCUCGCGUCUGAUUAGCUAGUUGGUGAGGUAAGGGCUCACCAAGGCGACGAUGCGUAGCCGACCUGAGAGGGUGAUCGGCCACAUUGGGACUGAGACACGGCCCAG